AGAGAAUAGAUACCCCGGUAGUCCACGCUGUAAACGAUGGGUACUAGGCUUUGUGGGAAUAGACCCCUGCAGAGCCGGAGCUAAACGCAAUAAGUACCCCGCCUGGGAAGUACGGUCGCAAGACUAAAACUCAAAGGAAUUGACGGGGGCCCGCACAAGCGGUGGAUCAUGUGGUUUAAUUCGAAGCAACGCGCAAAACCUUACCUGGGUUUGACAUCCCCGGACCGACGUAGAAAUACGUUUUCAGUAGCAAUACUGCCGGGAGACAGGUGCUGCAUGGCUGUCGUCAGCUCGUGUGGUGACAUGUUGGGUUAAGUCCCGCAACGAGCGCAACCCUUGUCUUUAGUUGCCAGCAUUCAGUUGGGCACUCUAGAGAGACUGCCGUGGUUAACACGGAGGAAGGUGGGGAUGACGUCAAGUCCUCAUGGCCUUUAUAUCCAGGGCGACACACGUGAUACAAUGGAUGGCACAAAGGGAAGCGAACCCGCGAGGGGAGCGAAUCUCAAAAAGCCAUUCUCAGUUCGGAUUGGAGUCUGCAACCCGACUCC
RNAcentral lists this ribosomal RNA (548 nucleotides) under uncultured bacterium. RNAcentral describes it as "bacterial SSU rRNA". It matches the Rfam family "Bacterial small subunit ribosomal RNA", at positions 773 to 1319 of the family's 1533-position model. The record is from RNAcentral.